UACGAAGGGUGCAAGCGUUACUCGGAAUUACUGGGCGUAAAGCGUGCGUAGGUGGUUUGUUAAGUCUGAUGUGAAAGCCCUGGGCUCAACCUGGGAAUUGCAUUGGAUACUGGCAGGCUAGAGUGCGGUAGAGGAUGGCGGAAUUCCCGGUGUAGCAGUGAAAUGCGUAGAGAUCGGGAGGAACAUCUGUGGCGAAGGCGGCCAUCUGGACCAGCACUGACACUGAGGCGCGAAAGCUAGGGGAGCAAACGGG
Molecule: ribosomal RNA, 253 nt
Filed under: uncultured bacterium
Lineage: Bacteria
Description: partial 16S ribosomal RNA
Rfam family: Bacterial small subunit ribosomal RNA
Source: RNAcentral